Molecule: ribosomal RNA, 764 nt
Filed under: uncultured bacterium
Lineage: Bacteria
Description: bacterial SSU rRNA
Rfam family: Bacterial small subunit ribosomal RNA
Source: RNAcentral
AGAGUUUGAUCCUGGCUCAGGACGAACGCUGGCGGCGUGCUUAACACAUGCAAGUCGAACGGUUGUAGCAAUACAGCAGUGGCAAACGGGUGAGUAACGCGUAAGUAACCUACCCUACAGACGGGCAUAACCUGUCGAAAGACGGGCUAAUUCCCGAUACCCUUAAAGUUUCGCAUGAGACUUUAAGGAAACGGUGCAAACCGCUGAAGGAUGGGCUUGCGGCCUAUCAGCUAGUUGGUGAGGUAACGGCUCACCAAGGCAACGACGGGUAGCUGGUCUGAGAGGACGAUCAGCCACAAUGGAACUGAGACACGGUCCAUACUCCUACGGGAGGCAGCAGUGAGGAAUUUUCCGCAAUGGGCGAAAGCCUGACGGAGCGACGCCGUGUGUGUGAUGAAGUCUUUCGGGAUGUAAAGCACUGUCAGGGGGGACGAUAUUGACUGUACCCCCAGAGGAAGGCCCGGCUAACUACGUGCCAGCAGCCGCGGUAAUACGUAGGGGCCAAGCGUUGUCCGGAAUUACUGGGCAUAAAGGGUUCGUAGGCGGCUUAAUAAGUCAGGUGUCAAAUUUCCCAGCUCAACUGGGAACCUGCACUUGAUACUGUUUUGCUAGAGAGUGUCAGAGGAGAGCGGAACUUCCGGUGUAGCGGUGAAAUGCGUAGAUAUCGGAAGGAACACCAGUGGCGAAGGCGGCUUUCUGGGGCACAUCUGACGCUGAGGAACGAAAGCUAGGGGAGCAAACGGGAUUAGAUACCCUGGUAGUCC